Molecule: ribosomal RNA, 301 nt
Filed under: uncultured bacterium
Lineage: Bacteria
Description: partial 16S ribosomal RNA
Rfam family: Bacterial small subunit ribosomal RNA
Source: RNAcentral
CAGUCGCCACGGGAAUACGGAGGGUGCAAGCGUUAAUCGGAAUUACUGGGCGUAAAGCGCACGCAGGCGGUCUGACAAGUCAGAUGUGAAAUCCCCGGGCUUAACCUGGGAACUGCAUUUGAAACUGUCAGGCUGGAGUCUUGUAGAGGGGGGUGGAAUUCCAGGUGUAGCGGUGAAAUGCGUAGAGAUCUGGAGGAAUACCGGUGGCGAAGGCGGCCCCCUGGACAAAGACUGACGCUCAGGUGCGAAAGCGUGGGGAGCAAACAGGAUUAGAUACCCCAGUAGUCCCUGUCUUUUAUAC